GGCAUUUGAAUUGGUGGCAAAUAUGAACAGCGGAGGGCUAUUUGCCAUUCUCUCUUGCCAUAUGCCUUUGAUGGCUUUAUCUUUCUACGAUAUGGAACAUGUUUUCAACAAGGAAUUUGCCUUAAUUGCUUUGACCUUGGCUGCUUUCGUGUGUAGUUUGGUUUGGUUGUUUCUCUACUGCUAUUUCGCUACAUUUCUCAGCGAAAGAAUAACUUCUAAUGGGAAUACUAUGUGGUCGACCAACUGGUUCGAUUAUUCACCAGAGUUUAGUAAAUAUGUGCCCUUAAUAAUUGCUCGUUCACAAAAACCAGCACAAUUCACUGGAUUCAAUUUAUUGCCUUGCACAUUGGAAAUGUUCGGAAAAAUUUUCAAGACAUCCCUAUCUUAUUACUGGAUAUACAGGAGCCUUUCUAUGCACUAAAAUGUCAAACAUCAAAAUGGAUCACCAUAAAUGAAUUGAAUUGAUUUUUCUCUCAAUCGACGAGUUUUAAUGUAGAUUUUAGAAAUCCUAGGAAACAUGCUGUAAAAUGUAGAAUUGUCACGUAAGAAUAAUGUUUUAUUAAAGUGCACUAUGUUUCAGUCUCGCGACUAACGCCAACAGAACAAGUUGUUAUUUCAUUUCUCUCUUGCUUCAUUCCACUUCUAUAUUGUUUUACUUUUGCAGCUCAUAUUACC
Sitodiplosis mosellana (orange wheat blossom midge) is the source of this 675-nucleotide long non-coding RNA. RefSeq lists it as uncharacterized. The record is from RefSeq and is a predicted model, not a curated record. NCBI's taxonomy places the organism in Eukaryota, Metazoa, Arthropoda, Insecta, Diptera, Cecidomyiidae. The transcript has 3 exons.